This 539-nucleotide ribosomal RNA is filed under the name Plesionika narval. Its description in RNAcentral is "partial 16S ribosomal RNA". It matches the Rfam family "Bacterial large subunit ribosomal RNA", at positions 1827 to 2625 of the family's 2925-position model. The record is from RNAcentral. Lineage: Eukaryota; Metazoa; Arthropoda; Malacostraca; Decapoda; Pandalidae.
GUCUGUGUGAUUGUCACUACAAAGUCUGACCUGCCCACUGAAUCUGUUUGAAGGGCUGCGGUAAUUUGACCGUGCGAAGGUAGCAUAAUCAAUAGUCUCUUAAUUGGGGGCCGGAAUGAAGGGUUGGACAAGGAGUUGGCUGUCUCUUUUAUGAAAACUGAAUUUUACUUUUAGGUGAAAAGGCCUAAAUGCGUUUGGGGGACGAUAAGACCCUGUAAAACUUUACAGUUCAGGUUGUGUUCUUCAAAUUAUAGUUUAAAGCUGACCACGAUCGAGCUGUUGUGUUGGGGUGACAUGGAUAUAAUAAGUAACUGUCGAAUUAAUUAGAUAAAUAUAGUUAGGGUGAUUGGUCCUUUAUUAGAGAUUAAAAGAUCAAGUUACUUCAGGGAUAACAGCGUAAUUUUCCUUGAGAGUUCUUAUCGACGGGAAUAGUUGCGACCUCGAUGUUGAAUUAAGAUUUCCUCCGGGUGUAGGAGCUCGGGCGGUAGGUCUGUUCGACCUUUAAAAUCUUACAUGAUUUGAGUUCAAACCGGUGUGAG